Molecule: long non-coding RNA, 168 nt
Organism: Triticum dicoccoides
Lineage: Eukaryota; Viridiplantae; Streptophyta; Magnoliopsida; Poales; Poaceae
Exons: 3
Source: RefSeq, a predicted model, not a curated record
GCGCUCGAUAUGAAGAACAUGUCGUUGAUGGGCCUUUGCCGAAGGAUUGGCAUGGUUUUUCGGUUUAUGUGAGUUCGGAGGUGACUGGGGUAGACCGCAACAGACGGAAAAGACGGAAAGUGUCGAUUAAAUUGCGACGUCCUGGAUGCGAAGAGAUUGUUGUCCAAG